Molecule: transfer RNA, 67 nt
Filed under: Marmota monax (woodchuck)
Lineage: Eukaryota; Metazoa; Chordata; Mammalia; Rodentia; Sciuridae
Description: tRNA.Ala
Source: RNAcentral
GGCUGUGGCUUAUUGGUAUAGUGCUUGCCUAGCAUGUGUGAGGCACUGGGUUUGAUUCUCAGCACCA